CAGCCGGGGUCCCGGGCAUGUGCCCGGUGUGUGCCCUCGGAGAGGGGUGAGGGUGGUCCCGCAUGAGGUGCGGUGGGCUGCCCCGACGUGUCCCGGUGGGACCGGCCGUCCCUGUGACACCGUGGAGGUGACCGGGUAAUUUCUGGCCUCAGGUGGUUUCCUGAUAUAAUUUGGACAGGGAGAAAUGGGUGCAAACUGAAAGAGGGGGAAAUUAGGUUGGGUGCGCGGAAGAAAUGCUUUUAUGUGAGAGUGAUGAGACACUAGGAUGGGUUGCCCAGGGAGGUUUGGAUGCCCCAGCCCUGGUGGUGUUCAAAGGCAGGUUGGAUGGGACUUUGAGCAAGCUGGUCUAGUGGAAGGCGUCCCAGCCCAACGGGAUGGUCUUUAAGGUCCCUUCCAACCUUGAUCCUAUGAUUCUGCGUUUGGGGGUUUCUAAAAAAGGAAAAUGCUUCAUGAAGUCGCAUCCUGGUGUUGCACAGGUUGGUUACUGGAAGGUUUCAGACCUGCUGACGGUCUUGUCACUGCAUGUGUUGGCACGGAAAAAGGGGGGAAAUGGCAGUUUUGCUGGAUCUUGCAGGAAUGUUGAGAGUUCGGACACAUUUGUCAGGACAGGCUGUCAGAAGACAGUGGGAAUUUUAAGGGUCUCCAUCUCUGCCCUGUGGUCUCUCUCUGCUAACCCUCCUGUGUGGUGGAAGGCAAACACAAAUCCUGAGCCAGGCCACUGGUCAAAAGUCAUGAGUGAAAUCUUGGUCUUUAAAAAUAACAUCUUGAAAUAAUAUGUUUUAUGUUAUUUGGUUUAGAGCCUAGAAUUUUUAUCUUUGGUAUGCUCGAACUUUUCUCCAAAACCCAAAGGGAAAUAACAAAACUCUUUUUUCCUUAUUGAAAGCUGAGGUUAAUAUCUAAAUAUCUUCCCCUUCAGAAGCUGAGGUUUUAGGAGUACUGGCUUAGGUUAAACUAAUAAGUUUGAGCAACAGUGCUUUGUUUUGAGUGGAACUUUGAAAAAGUCCAGCUGGGGGAAACCAGAGGCCCAAGACCAGUGGAGAACUCCAUGGAGGGACAAAAUGCAUGAAAGGAGUGAAACCAGAGAAGCAGAUGAGACUUCAUGGAGGCCUGGCCAGCUGAAGUAGAUACCUUGGCCCUGUUUAGAGGCAGCAGAAGAUAUUUGGCUGAUAACAGCUAAAGCACUCUUACAUCAGAGGGAGAGGUUGGAAAGGGCUUUGUCCCUGACUUCUGACCUGGUGUGGCUGUAGGGUUAAAUUCAACAUCGGUCUUCCAGAAAGGGGAAUGUUGAUUUUGUGUUUUUAGCUGACCAACCAUUGCUGGAGAACACAAGGCUUGUGUUUUAGUCACUUCACUGCUGUAUAUACUCUCAUUUCCAUUGUUGUGUGUUUUCAGCAUUCUUGAGUUCUUUCUUGGUCUUCCCCAGAUGCCAUCACUGCAUCCAUAAUUCAAAGACUUGAGUAAAGAUGGCAGGAACAAUUGCAGAGAGCAGCACAGACCCUGUGAAGGCACCUAAAAGUGAACUUUAAAGAUCAAGACUAUGUUUUCUUGCCCUGUGCCACAGUGUCCACGGGAGUGGAUGGUAAAAACCCCUUCCCACUGUCUGCACCUGUUGUCCUUUGUCACCUUUGUGCCUUCCCUAGUCAUAAAGGUGGUUUUUACUCCUCCUAGACUUUCUCCAGUCACCAGGAGGGGAUCUUGGAAGACAGGUCUGGGGCUGGCACAGUCACAGGAAAAAGAGAAUUGUGAAAGGGGUAAGGGCGCCACGCUUUUUCAGUUUUUCAUCAGCUAAGCCCUGUUUUGGAUCUGAUUCUAUUCUACAGCCAGAUGAGAGAGGGCAGGUUUAAUAAUCCAAAUAAGUGUGCAGCUUUUUGAGCAAUUAGAGAAUCAACUGGUAAAUACAAAACACAUCUGUCUCACUUGUGACAGAUGACUCUAUUACAAUAACAGAAGUAUGAGUUCAUCCUAUUCAGGCAUCUUUAAAGUUUCCCAAAAGUAGAGAAUUAAUGCACCAAUUCAACUGUAAAAAAUGACAAACUUAUAAACACCCAGAAGAGGAAUUUUGAAGAGAAAUUUUGGCAACCUUAAAUACAGUUGUAACACCAGCCACGUUAUUGAAGCAGAGUUGCAAUACAUAACUGUGCAGAAUAUGUACAAUUCUGACUGUAUUGUAAUUCAGACAACUUCAGACAAGUUCCACAUGUUUAACAGAGAAAAUGUUGCAGAAAUACUUCUUAUUUAUUGUGAUACUUUAGAUACUAGAGAGCAAUCAUUCCCUGUCGAAAACAGCAAAUGAAAUUACCAAUGUAGAAUAUUUUGAACUAGUGUUACUCUUAAGUGUAAGAAACCCAUAUUGGGACAUUCUAGACUAAAUACAGAUGCUUGAGAAGCAAGAAGCACUUCCAUUUUCUAGAUCUGGAAAGUCAGAAAAAACAACCCUUGAAUUUAUUGUUCAUGAGCUGGCUAGAACUAAUAAACUUUGGCUAAUUUAGGUCUUUUUUUUUAACUUUUUUUCCCCUACCAUUUUGUUUUAGAGGAGGAUGGAGCACAUAGUCCAGAUCUGAAUAAUAGGAAGGAACUCUCAUUAAGGGCCUGGGUUAUUUGAUAAUAACCAUGUGAGGCUGCUUGGGCAGAGCUGUAAUACUACAAAAUAUUAGAGAAAAUCCUCGAGAGAUGGAUUAGCAGUCAAAGCUGAACGCUGAAGGUAAUUAAUUGUUUGAUUCCCUAUCAGGUGUGUAUACUUUCCCUUUUCUUCUGCAUCAAAUCUAAGGUUGCUGGAAACAAACCAACUAACAACAAAGAACAAAGGAAGAAAGAAUAAUUUAGAACAAUCACAUUUUCCACAGUACCAGCUAAAUAAAGGCUGGAACAGGCACCUGGAUGUGCUUGCCACUUCCAAAAAAUGAGAUAAGGAUGAAAGAUAAGCACUUUCCUUAAACAGCAUUUUUAGAAAUCAUUCAGCAGAUAGUAAGCAAAUUACACUGGUGUGAGAUUCUUCAUCACUUCAUGCAGAGGAGGAUGGUCAGUAUUUUAGUAGAGGAGUGGAAUAUGGAAAGCCAAAACCUGGCUGGAGUUGCAACUGAAGGACGUGAAGGGCAACAGAAAGAGCUUCUACAGGUGAUUUGGCAGCAAAAGGAGGACAAGGAAAUAUGUGGGCCUGCUGCAGGACUGGGUGAUUAAACUGGCCAUAAAGGUCAAGGAAAAAGAAGAGACCUCUUUCAUCUUGGACUUUGCUGGGAAAAACCCCAUUCCCAUCUCCCAAGCUUCUGUGCUUGUAGUAGGGUUUGGGCAGAGGAGGGAAACUCCCCACAGAAAGUCCACUCUGUCAAAGUGGGCAUAUACAAGUCCACUGGGCCACAUGACACUUACUUGAGUGUUGAGGGAGCUCACCAGUUUUGUACUCACAACCUGUGACGUUGGAAAGUCCAUGACAUUUAAAGACUGAAGGUGACUGAACAAAGGCAAAAGUUGGUUGUGUCUGACCCAGUGUCACUGACUUUGGGCUUAGUGAGCACAGGGAAAGCAGAGAAUGUCGUUCAAGCUUGUCUUUAUGAGGGCUUUUGGUGGAUUUCCUCGAUAACCUUAUAACUGGGGAGAUGUGGGUGAGGUGGGCAGACCCUGGGUGUGAAAAACUGCUUGUACCCCUAGGCUUGAAGGUUGUGUGUCAUUGGUUUGAAGUCUUGUCUGCUGCCCUGUUAGGAGGGGUCAGGGAUCAGUACUGGGGCGAGUCUCAUUUGACAAGGUCACCACGCAGGGGGUGGUACAGAGUGCACCCUCAGCAAGUUUUCAGCUGCUCUCCUUGCCAAACUGGGGAGAUCAGCUGGUACACAGGAGGCACCAGUCAGAGGAGGCUUGCCAAGCUGCAGGUGUGGGCCAGUGAGAACCUCGUGUUGGUCAACAGAGACAAGGGCAAAGUCCUGAAUAUGGAACAGGCUAUAGGAUGCUACAAGCUGAGAACCAGCUGGCUUGGAAGUAGCCCAGCAGAAAAGGGCCUGGCCAUCCAGGUGGACAAAAGAAGUUCCUCAUGGGAUUCCAACACCUGCAGAGCUGCAUUCUCCUUAAAGCCAGCAGGUAUGAGCUCUGAGUCCUGCACUGGUGAGGCCACACUGGGUACACACUGUCUAGUUUGGGAGCAGCCAGUUCAGCAGAGGCUGCUGAGACUGUGAGGGGCUGAAGCACAUGCUGUGUGAGGAAGUGGGUUUGGCCACAGCAGGAUCUAAUUACAAUGUGCACCUUCCCAGAGAGAAUUAUAGGGAAGAUGGCACAAGGCUUUUCUCUGAGAUAGUCGCCAACAGGAUGAGAGAUAAAAGUGAGAAACUGCACCCAGAGAUAUUCCAAUUGUGUGUAAGAAAACGAAAGUUCAAAGUGAGAAUGGUCAAGCAGAGCAUUUUCCCUGAGUGGCUGUGGAUUUUCCAUCCUUGGAAACAAAACUAGACAGGAAAAGACUUUGAGCAACCUACUUUAUCUUUGAAGAUAGCCGUGGAGAUAGCAGGAGGUUGAACCAGUGACCUUCAAAAUAUCUUGCCCAACUUUCAUUUUGCUUUGAUUAUAAAUAUACUUUCUACAAGACUAUCCUUGUGUUGGUGGGGAACAGUAUUGGUGACUGGAUAAUUGUCAUGUCUCAGGGGUUACUGAUAUUAUAUCCCAAAGCUUCAGUGCAGCCAUCCUGUUGCUUUGUAGCUGAGCUUGCAUAGUGAAGAUAAGGGCAGCAGUGCUUUCGUUGCAACCUAAUUAAAUAUUAGGUAAUCACACAGUGUCUUCUGUCCACCAAAUUCAUGUGCAUACACUGAUGUUGACCUCUGCACUCUCCUGAGUAAGCACAGCAUGCUGUGGUCACAAAAAUAAAUGUCAGAAAGUGCCAGGGAUCCCAUGUGGUACAGAACGUCCUGUUUAAUACAGGGUGUGUCCUAUCUUUAUGUGGUCAGUGCAAUUUCUCGUAGGAAGAGCAUACCUGGCAUGGAUUCCCCUGUAUUUCCAUUGCCACAGGUGUCUUUUCUGGAUGUGCAGGAUGCAUUGGGAGAGCUCAGACUUCUCUGUAAGGACAGAUAAAACGUGUAUGUGCAAGGGGUGUGCUGCCAGUCUUGGAUUUCUAUUCUCCUAAAUUUAAAAUCCUUCUUUGAAAAAUCAGACCAUAAAGAGAGAGAAAGAGUCGUGCAACUAAGGAGAGAACCUAGGUCUGAGAUAUGGCUGCUCAUCCUGUAGCUCCUGUUCUUAAACCUGGUCAGCUGGAACAUCUCUGGAAGCAUCCAAGGUCAGGCUGGAUGGGCCUUUGAACAACCUGAUGAGGAAGAAGAUAUCCCUGGAUUCAUGUGCAUGACAGUUUGGAAGGUGUGAGCCACAGGGAGAGAGAGAGCAGCAAUCCCUACUGGGAGUGACUUGGGAAUACCAUGGAGGAAGCAGGAGCAUUGGUGAGAUUUUUGAGGAUGGAAGAGUGAAAGAUGAAGUGCUAAAUUUGAGACUGUGGCUGCUAAAAUGAGCUGCUGAACAUCAGAGAGCAGGAAUUACUGCAUUUCCUGAGUGCUGCAGAACCUCUGAGCCUUUUAUUUCUAGUAGUAGAAAUCCACAUGGGUCUCAAGAAUGUUAAAAUAACAGGUUUUGAAAGCAACAGUUUUUCAUCAAGGCAAAAAUAUAUUUUAUAUAUAUAAAUAGGUAUCUGUGUUUAUCUGUUUUGCCCAUUCCAGGUCCCCUGAGCAGAUAAUGCUGCAGUCUCAGCUCCCACAGCCUCCACCCUCAGCUCCCUCACCCUCCAUCCUGGCUGCUGGGCUGUACAUCAUUUCAAAGGAGCACAGCUGGGUGCUGGACUGUAAUUUCUCAUGCAGCUCAGAUCAAGUCCAUUAGUUUAUUUGAAGGUUAGGACCAAGACCAUGGAAGUGCACGAGGAGCUAAUAGACAGAGCGGUGUUCCCGCUGUGCUCACGGGGGCUUAAACCAGGGAGAAAAUAGUCAGGCACAUCCAUAUUAUUUUCACCUUUUGCUUCACGAUUUGCAGUAGUCUCAUUCAUAAAUGACAAAGAAACAGCUCCCUGCUGUGAGGUCCUCAUGCCACAGAGAGCUGUAAUGAGUUUGUAACAAGAUGGAGACAAGGAAGAUUUUUUUGUGAUUACUCAGACAAAUCUCUGAGUGCAAAUCAGAGAUGUGCUGAGUGAGGGGUAUGUCUUUCCAUCACUCUCCAUGGCUUAAACAUCUGAGGAUUCUUAAGGUAUUCUCAUGGUAUUAUGUAAGAAGAACUCAGUAAGACAAAAAUGUUCUAAAUGCAUCUUUAUGGGUUUCUUGCCUUCAGUGUAUGUCAGAAUCUUCUGUAAUUUGACAGCCACUAGCAGUGAUUAAUGGCUAGCAAUAUGGCUAGGGGCAAUGUGUGUUUCAAAGUCAGUAUCAGGGAAGCCUCUGUGAUCUGGGAAGUCUUUGGCUGUGGAACUGUCUCCUUGCAAAAUCAGAAACAAGUGUUUUGCCUGUGUGCUCCUUGAAGAGCUCCAAAUAAAUAGCUGGAAUAUUAAUGAAGAUGAGGGUGAAAAACAGGGGAAUAUUCACCUUGGAGUGUGGUGCUAAACUGAGAUUUAAGGGUUGUUUCUGUUUCAGUCUUUUAUGAUAGCUAUUGUAAAUUUAUAUUUUUCAUAUGCAUGCAUAUAUAUUUGUGGAGGUGUAUACAUAUAAAUGCUCCAGAAAGAAAUGUUUUAUUUUCAUUUUCUUAGAAGCAUCAGGUGUUUUCUGUGUUGAAUCUUAGCAUGGGUAAUAUAUAUCCAGAUAUUAAAGUAACCAUGGCAAAAUAAAUAAAUAAAUAUUUCCAA
Long non-coding RNA from Haemorhous mexicanus (house finch), 6781 nucleotides. RefSeq lists it as uncharacterized. Lineage: Eukaryota; Metazoa; Chordata; Aves; Passeriformes; Fringillidae. The record is from RefSeq and is a predicted model, not a curated record. The transcript has 4 exons.